RNAcentral lists this RNase P RNA (193 nucleotides) under Gammaproteobacteria bacterium. RNAcentral describes it as "partial RNase P RNA component class A". It matches the Rfam family "Bacterial RNase P class A", at positions 175 to 367 of the family's 367-position model. From Rfam's summary of the family: Ribonuclease P (RNase P) is a ubiquitous endoribonuclease, found in archaea, bacteria and eukarya as well as chloroplasts and mitochondria. Its best characterised activity is the generation of mature 5'-ends of tRNAs by cleaving the 5'-leader elements of precursor-tRNAs. Lineage: Bacteria; Pseudomonadati; Pseudomonadota; Gammaproteobacteria. The record is from RNAcentral.
GCACCGCGCCGCUGGCAACAGCGGUGGCAGGGUAAACCCCAUCCAGAGCAAGACCAAAUAGGGGAACAGUCGGCUUUAGCCGCAGCGUGUGGUCCGCACGGUUCCCGGGUAGGUUGCUAGAGGUCUGUGGUGACGCAGAUCCCAGAUGAAUGACUAUUCGCGACAGAACCCGGCUUAUAGGUUGACUCCCACA